RNAcentral lists this ribosomal RNA (253 nucleotides) under uncultured bacterium. RNAcentral describes it as "partial 16S ribosomal RNA". It matches the Rfam family "Bacterial small subunit ribosomal RNA", at positions 524 to 776 of the family's 1533-position model. The record is from RNAcentral.
UACGUAGGGUGCAAGCGUUGUCCGGAAUUAUUGGGCGUAAAGAGCUCGUAGGCGGUCUGUCGCGUCUGCUGUGAAAACUCGAGGCUUAACCUCGAGACGUCGGUGGAAACUGCCUGGCUAGAGUCCGGAAGAGGAGAGUGGAAUUCCUGGUGUAGCGGUGAAAUGCGCAGAUAUCAGGAAGAACACCCGUGGCUAAGGCGGCUCUCUAGUACGGUACUGACGCUGAGACGCGAAAGCGUGGGGAGCGAACAGG